This 647-nucleotide long non-coding RNA is filed under the name Gossypium barbadense (sea-island cotton). RNAcentral describes it as "long non-coding RNA (GBAR_LNC003670)". Lineage: Eukaryota; Viridiplantae; Streptophyta; Magnoliopsida; Malvales; Malvaceae. The record is from RNAcentral.
GAGGCAAAAGAACAACGAUAUUAAGAACAGUUUGGCAAUAACUUGGUGGUGAAAAAUCAAAGUGUAGAGCAUCCUAUGCUACUUGAAUUCAGGUGUGUGCAAAAUACAUAUUUCUAUGAUCCACGCCCACAAAUAUAUUAGACACAAAUACUUCAAUAAAAAAAAGAAGAGUCGGAACAACAUUCAGAAUCCCAAACUUACGUAUCUGCAAUCUUAUAUCAAUUACGUAGACAUUAACUGCUAAAAUAAAUUAUUAUGCUAAUAUAUUUAAACGUUUAGCCAAUUCAACUCAACUCUUGGGAGUUAUGUUUGCAAUUAAGAAUUCAAGACUGAAUUAUGAUGGGGCACUCAGACAUCUAAAAUGUUAAGCACUAGAGAUCGAAUGAAAUAUAUACAUGUAAUGUAAGUGUAACUUAGGAAGAAUGAAUUAUGAGAUAAUCAAGCAAUAUUUCGACACCUCAAAGCUUACCUUUGAUGCUAAAACAUUUUCGGUGAUGCAGUUACAGAGAUGAUACUUAUUUGGAAGCAGAACUUGUAGCACAUGGAGCUUGUGCACUGGUUUCAAUUGAGGGAGUUCCUUCACCAGCAUCAGAAGUCUGGUGAUUAUUUGAUUCUAGAUUAGAGCUGUCUUCCGAACUGUUUGAUAC